UGAACCAUAAAUAUCACGAUACGUUUAAUCAAGCAGUAAGUCUGCAUAUAAAAUUAAAAGACAAAAAAAGAUAUGGUCAGACGUAGAACUCGAACCUCCAACUCUGAUAUUGGCAGCUAAGCGCUUUGUCCACACAUCUACCUGCACAUGCGACAGGUAUAUCAAGGACAUACUUGAAUAAAUGGCAUUAAUUGGUGAAACAGGAGUGCUUAUAUGACGGCCGUGGUGGGCGGAAGGCAGGCGUUUGGUUGAACUUGAUGUGCUAGUUAACUAUCUAGAACUGUCGCAAGUGUAAAUUAGAACAAGUACCGCUGACAGCAUGUGACGUGGAUGGCGGGUUGCACAAAAGGGGCUUUGUGGAUAUUUAUACGUGUUUUGUCAGAAAUUAUCUUGACUGUAGCUUUUGUCAACAGAGUGGCAGAAGUCAGCCGAUGCCAUGAAGUCAAAUUAGCAAUUAGCUUAAUGAAGAGGUUACACAUCCUGUAGAAACAUUGCACUUAGCUGCAAAGAAGUAUUCCAUAUGUAACUGAGAAAAAUAUGCAACCAGUCAGGGAUGGAACCCGGUGCGGCUCGAUGACAGGGCGAAUGCUGUACCAACUAAACAAACCGGCUGCAUAUUCUUCCCCAAUGUGACUACCUUCGCACAGAAACACAUGUGACAUUCCAAUAUUUCUUACAACGCGACUAUUUACAUGACAGCCGUGCAAAUGUUUUUUUUUUACGAUCACUGUGUAAAUAAUGUAUAUUUAUGACACGACAACCGUGUUAAUAAAAUGCAAACAUGGCAGAUAUUCCUUUCAUAACAUGAACUUGUAUGAAGUUCUUUUGUAUAGUUAUCGAUGCUAAAUAAACUUUUGA
Long non-coding RNA from Mercenaria mercenaria, 858 nucleotides. RefSeq lists it as uncharacterized. The record is from RefSeq and is a predicted model, not a curated record. NCBI's taxonomy places the organism in Eukaryota, Metazoa, Mollusca, Bivalvia, Venerida, Veneridae. The transcript is spliced from 3 exons.